RNAcentral lists this transfer RNA (25 nucleotides) under Wyulda squamicaudata. RNAcentral's name for it is "partial tRNA-Pro". The record is from RNAcentral. Lineage: Eukaryota; Metazoa; Chordata; Mammalia; Diprotodontia; Phalangeridae.
UAAGGUGUUGUUACCUUCUUCUUGA